This 402-nucleotide ribosomal RNA is filed under the name uncultured bacterium. Its description in RNAcentral is "bacterial SSU rRNA". It matches the Rfam family "Bacterial small subunit ribosomal RNA", at positions 355 to 774 of the family's 1533-position model. The record is from RNAcentral.
UCGGGAAUUUUGGGCAAUGGGCGAAAGCCUGACCCAGCAACGCCGCGUGAGGGAUGAAGUAUUUCGGUAUGUAAACCUCGAAAGAAUGGGAAGAAUAAAUGACGGUACCAUUUAUAAGCUCCGGCUAACUACGUGCCAGCAGCCGCGGUAAUACGUAGGGAGCAAGCGUUGUUCGGAUUUACUGGGCGUAAAGGGCGCGUAGGCGGCGCGGUAAGUCACUUGUGAAAUCUCUGAGCUUAACUCAGAACGGCCAAGUGAUACUGCUGUGCUAGAGUGCGGAAGAGGCAACCGGAAUUCUUGGUGUAGCGGUGAAAUGCGUAGUUAUCAAGAGGAACACCUGAGGCGAAGGCGGGUUGCUGGGCCGACACUGACGCUGAUGCGCGAAAGCCAGGGGAGCAAACG